This 253-nucleotide ribosomal RNA is filed under the name uncultured bacterium. RNAcentral describes it as "partial 16S ribosomal RNA". It matches the Rfam family "Bacterial small subunit ribosomal RNA", at positions 524 to 776 of the family's 1533-position model. The record is from RNAcentral.
UACGUAGGUGGCAAGCGUUGUCCGGAUUUACUGGGCGUAAAGAGCGCGCAGGCGGUCGUGCAAGUCGCGUGUGGAAGCCCCCGGCUCAACUGGGGAGGGUCACGCGAUACUGCUCGACUUGAAGGCAGGAGAGGGAAGUGGAAUUCCCGGUGUAGUGGUGAAAUGCGUAGAUAUCGGGAGGAACACCAGUGGCGAAGGCGGUUACCUGGAGCUUUGCUGACGCUGAUGCGCGAAAGCGUGGGGAGCGAUCCGG